Hydra vulgaris (swiftwater hydra) is the source of this 1084-nucleotide non-coding RNA. The record is from RefSeq and is a predicted model, not a curated record. Lineage: Eukaryota; Metazoa; Cnidaria; Hydrozoa; Anthoathecata; Hydridae.
GUAAUGCUUAUUUGCUAUAGUAAUGGUAAGUUUACUUUUGAACAAGAGUCAAAACUUGUCAUACUCUUGGUAGAACUGUGUUUAACUUGUUUUUCUGUGAAGCCUUGAUUAUCAACAUUAGCAUUUUAAAGAUUUUGAAAGGUAAAGAAGAAAAAAAGAAGAAAGGAAGGGAAGUAAAUAUAAUUAAAAACUGUUUGAAUUGAUUCAAGUUGAUUCAAUUUGUUGGAAUAAUGAUUGUUACUUAAAACGUUUAGCAUUUUUAAAUGCAGUAUUUACUUAACUUUCAAUGGUUGGUAAACUUUUAACGGUUGGUAAACAUUCAAUGGUUGGUAAACUUUCAAUGAUUCAAAAGAUUGACUUUUGUAGUACCACAUCUGUGAACAGAAGUUUUUAAUGAACAUGACCUUUCAAAGGUCAUGUGGUAAGGUCUAUGCAAACAUACCCAAAAAGAACCAGACUGGACUACAAAUCUAAACCUUUUUAAAGAUGCAAAGGUGCAAAGGCUGGGAUCUGGAAAGCCAAAAACCAAAAGAUUGUGACGGCAUAUGACAUCAGUCCAAUCCGGAAAAAAUAUUUUGUGAUGCCAUAUAGAGUCACCAUAUGAAGUUUCUACAGGCCUGGUGAAAAAACUUUGGCGCAACAUAAACGCAAGCAAUAAUGAAUAAAAAUUUAGAACAGAGUAGUAUAUUCCGAUACAAAAUAGAUAGUUAUCGUGAUUGCAAUUUUUGUUAAUAAACAAUGAUGUAACCAUUUUCACACACUGUUUGAUUGAUUGCAACUUAUGCAGAAAAAAUAAAUUGGCGAGAGAUUCCAUAAGGGGUAUGAUAACCCACACUAAAUCAUUUUUUUUUAAUUCGCUUUUGCGCUUAUAUUUUAUAUUUUUGGCACAUUUUUUCAAAUACCUGAGCAAAAUACAAUAUUAGAAUUGUUAUUUAUUUGUAUAAUUGUAAAAUGCAGCUCAUCAUGGAUGUCAUUAUGGUUUCUGCGACAAAUAUUUUCGCGUUUAAGUUGUACCUGAUCUAACUUAUUAUUGGUACGGUCAGAAAUUCGUAGUUUUUUGUAAAUAAAAAAGAUUUGUUUUGUU